AAAUUUUACGACAUGCUGUUGUCUGGAAAGUACCACGUGCAGUCUUGGGACAUGUUUUCCAAAAACGUUGUUCAAAUGACGUACAGGAAGGAAAGCGGUUUUGUGGAUCAGAAUCCAAACACUAAUGUCAUCCUGGCGGCAUUUACAACUUGUUGGGCAAGAAUGCAUUUAUAUAAAUUUAUGGACAUGGGCUAAGGAUCGCUUGUUGUACUUUGACACAGACUCGAUUUUCUUUGUGACAAAACCGGGACUUGUGGAUCCACCAACUGGGUGUUUCUUAGGCGACCCAACAGAUGAGCUAAAGCCUGGUCAACAUAUUGUGCAGUUUGUUAGCCUUGGUGCCAAAACCUACGCGUACGUCACCAACGACGGCGAGACAGUGGCGAAAGUCAAAGGAUUCACUUUGAAUGGGCGAACG
Long non-coding RNA from Paramacrobiotus metropolitanus, 418 nucleotides. RefSeq lists it as uncharacterized. The transcript has 3 exons. The record is from RefSeq and is a predicted model, not a curated record. NCBI's taxonomy places the organism in Eukaryota, Metazoa, Tardigrada, Eutardigrada, Parachela, Macrobiotidae.